Molecule: ribosomal RNA, 1332 nt
Filed under: uncultured euryarchaeote
Lineage: Archaea; Methanobacteriati; Methanobacteriota
Description: 16S ribosomal RNA
Rfam family: Archaeal small subunit ribosomal RNA
Source: RNAcentral
GGAGAUCGCUGCUAUUGGGAUGCGAAUUAGCCAUGCAAGUCAAGGGGGUAGCAAUACCACCGGCAAAAGGCUCAGUAACACGUCAAUAAUCUACUCUUUGGUCUGGGAUAGCCUUGAGAAAUUGAGGGUAAACCCGGAUAGAGGAAAGGUACUGGAAUGUCCUUACCUUGAAAGGUAACGCCAAAGAAUGAGUUGGCGGCUGAUUAGGCUGUUGGUAAGGUAACGGCUUACCAAACCGAAGAUCAGUAGGGGGGAUGAGAGUCCUAGCCCCGAGAAGGACACUGAGAUAAGGGUCCUAGCCCUAAGGGGUGCAGCAGGCGCGAAAACUUUACAAUGCGCGAAAGCGUGAUAAGGGUAUCCCAAGUGCUUACCUUUUAGGUGGGCUUUUUUUAAGCGUAAAUAACUUGAAGAAUAAGUGGUGGGCAAGACCGGUGCCAGCCGCCGCGGUAAUCCCGGCGCCACAAGUGGCGAUCGUUUUUAUUGGGCCUAAAGCGUUUGUAGCCGAUUUGAUAAGUCUUUUGUGAAAUUGUUCUACUUAAUAGAGCAACGUGCAAAGGAUACUGUCUUGUUAGGGACUGGGGGGAGACAGAGGUAUUCCUUGGGGAGCGGUAAAAUGUUUUAAUCCUUGGAGGACCACCCGUGGCGAAGGCUUCUGUCUAUAACAGGUCCGACGGUGAGAAACGAAAGCUGAGGGAUCAAAUCGGAUUAGAUACCCGAGUAGUCUCAGCUGUAAACUCUGCGAACUAUGUAUUGCGUAUUUUUAGUGAAUAUGCAGUGCCGUAGCGAAGGCGUUAAGUUCGCCGCCUGGGAAGUAUAGCCGCAAGACCGAAACUUAAAGGAAUUGGCGGGGGCGCACUACAAGGGGUGACGCGUGCGGUUCAAUUGGACUCAACCCCGGACAACUCACCAGGAGCGACGGCAGAAUGAAGGUCUGAUUAAAGGUCAUACCUAACGAGCCGAGAGGUGGUGCAUGGCCGUCGUCAGCUCGUGUCGUAGGAUGUCACGUUAAGUCGUGCAACGAGCAAGACCUACAUCCACUGUUGCUAUCAAGCUAUUUUAGUGAUUGGGCACACUGUGGAGACUGCCCGUGUAAAUGGGAGGAAGGUGUAGGCAACGGUAGGUCAGUACGCCCCGAAUCUCCUGGGCUACACGCGCGCGGCAAUGGUAAGGACAAUGGGAUGCAACUCUGAAAAGAGAAGCUAAUCCUCUAACCCUUGCCCCAGUUCAGAUCGAGGGUUGCAAUUCACCCUCGUGACGAUGGAAUCCCUAGUAAUCGGAAUUCAUUAGAUUCCGGUGAAUAUGUCCCUGUGCCUUGCACACACCGCCCGUCAA